AUUUAUUCAUGAAAAUGGUUGGUUUAAAGCUCGAAAGCUCAUACCGAGAUGGCUUUUUCACAGCUUCAUGACGAACUAAAAUAAAAGCUUAUGACAGAAGAAACAUGCUUGGAUAGGCGUCCUUGUCGACCUCGCAGUCUCCAACCCAUCCUUAGGUAUUGCAGCUCCUUCCAAUCCAGUUUACUCCUUUUUGACAAUUUUCUUACUUGAGCCUUGGAGAUAUGCACUGAAUCGGCUAAUGUUUGCUCUGGGAAUUUCCUUUUGUAGAGAGGAUGUCUUGUCGAAUGUAGUUUUUAGUUCUUGAUCUUUUUUAUACAAGAUAUCUAAAUACUGUAAUUACUCUUGCUGGGAAGAAGGUUGUCAUGUAAGGGGAAAACUUUAGAAGUUACGCGACAUAAUUUAAACCAUGUGCAACUUGUUUGCUUCCUUGUUGUUUUAUUGCAUUCGAGAUCUUUACUAUUUUCACUGUCGAAAAUGCAGAGCAGAUCUUUAGUAUCUUGAAUUAUCAGUUAAAUUUGUUAGUUGUGAGAUGCAUAUGAUUCUGGCUUCAUUCACAACCAUUCAUGUGGUUUCUUCGGUUUGGUUGGUCGCUGCUGGUACUUCCAUGCCAUCUGAUUAUGUGGUAGAGUGCUUCGGAACUGUGUGUGGGGCCGGGUGUUGUCAGCCAGACCUGGGCGCCCUCGCCGGCGACUUGCUAUCUAACCCAUCCACAGGUUUUCCUACUCUUUGAUUUUCCUGUCCAAGUCCAUGAUUUGGUUUAUCUUGGUUGGCGUGCUUUUUUAUGUUACCUUGGUGGUCGAUGCAAUGAGAGGUGCAAAUGCAAGGCAAGACGACAUUAUAUAGGUUGUCCUGUGAGUUAGAAUAUCCAUGUGCUACUUAUUGUGGUGCGGCAUCAAGCAUGUUGAUUGAUUCUGAAGCAUGAGUAAACUGUAGUAAGCUGUGUGUACAGAUUCCUGAUUAUUCUGUAUGAUCCUCUAUUUUUUCCUUUAUGAUCCUCUUUAUUGUGGUGCGACACCAAACUUGGGUUAUUUACUUGCUUCCACUAUGAUUUCUGGGGAGGGCACUUUAUUGAUUUCUCAAACCUUGGAUCUAGACAUGUAAAUAGUUAAAUGAUUAUUUUGCUUUUCGAUUAAAUAUGAUACUAACUAAUCAUGUCUAUCUUAUACAAGCUUCAAUCUAUUCUAAAAAUUCUGUUUAUAAGGUACCAUCAGCUAUGACCCUAAUGGACCCCAAAUAAAAAGGAGAAAACAUUUGACACUUAUCGUGGCCAACCAUGAAACCGUGUUUCAGAAACUGCAUCAUAGCACAUAUUUCAACCAUCGUUUCCUGGUUUGUAAUAUGUACUAGCCUUCUGAAAAAGACUGAGGCUGCACUUGUUCCUGUCAGGUACUUGUAGCAAAUAUUUACUAACUUUUGUUCUUUCGAUCAGAUAACAAAAGUUUCUUGUCUCUUAAUAAAUUUUAGGUUGUCAUGUUACAAAAAGGCCUAUCUACAAAUAGGUGG
Molecule: long non-coding RNA, 1503 nt
Filed under: Triticum aestivum (bread wheat)
Lineage: Eukaryota; Viridiplantae; Streptophyta; Magnoliopsida; Poales; Poaceae
Description: long non-coding RNA (TAES_LNC023306)
Source: RNAcentral